RNAcentral lists this ribosomal RNA (253 nucleotides) under uncultured prokaryote. RNAcentral describes it as "partial 16S ribosomal RNA". It matches the Rfam family "Bacterial small subunit ribosomal RNA", at positions 525 to 777 of the family's 1533-position model. The record is from RNAcentral.
ACAGAGGGGGCAAGCGUUGUUCGGAAUUACUGGGCGUAAAGGGCGCGUAGGCGGCCUCUUAAGUCGAACGUGAAAUCCCCGGGCUCAACCCGGGAACUGCGUCCGAUACUGGGGGGCUUGAAUCCGGGAGAGGGAUGUGGAAUUCCAGGUGUAGCGGUGAAAUGCGUAGAUAUCUGGAGGAAUACCGGAGGCGAAGGCGGCUCACUGGGACCUUUCUGACGCUGAGGAACGAAAGCUAGGGGAGCAAACGGGA